GAUGAACGCUGGCGGCGUGCCUAAUACAUGCAAGUCGAGCGAACGGACGAGAAGCUUGCUUCUCUGAUGUUAGCGGCGGACGGGUGAGUAACAUGUGGAUAACCUACCUAUAAGACUGGGAUAACCUCGGGAAACCGGAGCUAAUACCGGAUGAUAUUUUGAACCGCAUGGUUCAAAAGUGAAAGACGGUCUUGCUGUCACUUAUAGAUGGAUCCGCGCUGCAUUAGCUAGUUGGUAAGGUAACGGCUUACCAAGGCAACGAUGCAUAGCCGACCUGAGAGGGUGAUCGGCCACACUGGAACUGAGACACGGUCCAGACUCCUACGGGAGGCAGCAGUAGGGAAUCUUCCGCAAUGGGCGAAAGCCUGACGGAGCAACGCCGCGUGAGUGAUGAAGGUCUUCGGAUCGUAAAACUCUGUUAUUAGGGAAGAACAUAUGUGUAAGUAACUGUGCACAUCUUGACGGUACCUAAUCAGAAAGCCACGGCUAACUACGUG
This 497-nucleotide ribosomal RNA is filed under the name uncultured bacterium. RNAcentral's name for it is "partial 16S ribosomal RNA". It matches the Rfam family "Bacterial small subunit ribosomal RNA", at positions 28 to 507 of the family's 1533-position model. The record is from RNAcentral.